Non-coding RNA from Podarcis lilfordi (Lilford's wall lizard), 6419 nucleotides. The record is from the annotation of a GenBank genome assembly. Lineage: Eukaryota; Metazoa; Chordata; Lepidosauria; Squamata; Lacertidae.
ACAACGGCUAGCUUAUGCACGUCUCUGUAAAAUAUCAUCAGUAACAAUAGGAGACUCAAAUGUAUUUCAUAUUAGCUUAGAACUAACCUUUGCGUCUCAUUAUCAAUCCGAUAAAAGCCUCUCUUGCUAGGAAGUCGUCUUUUCUUCAUGGCAACAAAGCUGUCUUUAUUCACCUGUGCUUUCUGACAGGACCUUCAGUUUUCAUGCAGGAUAUAUGUGUCUGCCUUCAUAUAACCACACCUAUUCUCUCCCUACCUGUAAAAGUUGCUUCAAAACAGCUUUUUAGCCGACUUCAACGCCUUAUGCAGAGAAUCGGGUUUCCUGAUUACCAUAGUUAACCGAGUGACGUUUUCCAGCAUUGUGGGCAUUCUGAUCAUGCUUCAGGUGCAGGAGCAGUGUCAUAAACAAGCAAUCUGGAAAGUCAUGUUAAGCAACCAGUAGGAUGAUUGAUAGGUCUCGUGCAUACAAAACACGCACAAACUGGCUUUGGCAGUCAGACUGAAUGGAUGAUACAGUGGAAGGAGAAGCAGGGAACUUCCGCCGCUCACGGAACAAAGUGUCUAGUGACUCUAAUCUUAUGACACCUUCAUGGCGCACAACUGCCUUCUGGCUUAAAAGACUUUUGACGUGUGCUGCUGACACGGACAGGCAGAGGACAGAUGCACAGAUAUGUCCCUGGCACAUUUCAGUCAUUUUUAUCACUGCAUUUUCCAGUAUCACGGCAAGUUAAAAAAAGAGAUCAACACUGCGGCCAGAGAUUUUGAAUGUUGCAAUAACUUCCCAUAUGUUAGCUCAGUCAUCUGUACAACAAUCCAGUGAGGUAGGUGCAGUUGUGUAAGUUUAAACAACAACCAUGGCACUUUUACAUACUGUACAUGCAGUCUUUUCCUCCCUUUUUUUCCUAGAGAAAAGGGUCUCACGGAUUCGGAAGCUGCCUUUUAAUGAGUCAGACCCUUGGUUCAUCUUGUCCAGUGUACACAAAGUGGCAAGGGCUGUCCAGGGUUUUGGGCAGAGAGUAUUCUUAGCUGUACCUGGAGAGGCCAGGAAUUGAAGGUGGGAUCAUCUUCAUUCAAAGCAGGUGCUCUGCUACUUGGGUCAUGACAAUUCAUGUGAAAAUUGGGGGGGGGUAGAUUUUUAGUUUCAUUUAGGUAACCUUCUCUGCAAUGUGAAAAGGCUUGUCAGCCUGGCAAGUAUUCUCUCUCUCUCUCUCUCCCUCUCUCAUCUAUUUCUUCUUCUUCUUCUUCUUCUUCUUCUUCUUCUUCUUCUUCUUCUUCUUCGUCUUCUUCUUCUUCUUCUUCUUCUUCUUCUUCUUCUUCUUCUUCUUCUUCUUCUUCUUCUUCUUCGUCUUCUUCUUCUUCGUCUUCUUCUUCUUCUUCUUCUUCUCAUCUGUCUCAGGAGACAAUGGAGGAGUGUCCCUUUGGGGGUGAAGUCAAUCUGUUGGAAGGUUCUCUCCAUCAUUAUAGACAUCAUCAUCAUCAUUUUAAUUAUUUAUAUUCCACCUUUCAGGACAACUCCUUACAAGUAGCUUACAGCUUUCAAAAUAUAUAACAUCAUGUAAAACAAAAUAGAAAACAGCACCGAUACAAUCUCUUCUUAAAACUUUCUCGGUCUCAGGUGACGACAAAUGGGACUUCUUUCUUGCCUCCAACACACAAUGCUUUUCCAGUGGUUCAGUGGUUCAGCUGGCAACCACUGAAUAUUGAGACUGGCAAGAACUGACUGGCAAUAAAUAAAUAAAUACAUAAAUAAAUAAAUAAAUAAAUAAGUACAUGUGUGAACCUGGCAACCUGCCCUUUUAGGACCGUGGAUCCAUUAGAUGACUUUUUUUUUUAGGACUGGUGCCAAUGGCUUGAGGCACAUAGCAGCCGUGGGAGAGGUUGGGACCAUAGUAAGGGCAAAUGAUUAAAAAAAACACCCGUCCAGCCUCCCUCCAGGUAUGGUUCUGAUCAGACUUCCCCACUUACUUUAGAUCAGCUUCCCCCAAUUAAGGGUCUUACAUUUGUUGCAGAACACCAGCUCUUAUCAGCUCCUGUUUGCAUGGCCAAAAUGAUCAGCGAUUAUGGGAGUCGUGGGACAACAACAUCUAGGAGGUAACAGGUAUGGGAAUGCUAUUCUGAAGAAUAAAUCACACAAAUGCUAAUAAUCACAAAGAGCACCAUGUGUUGCGCAGCUCUGAAUGUGAAAGGACUCUAAUGUUUGGGGAGUCUAUCUAGAGCGGAACAAAGGAGCUGAGAGGUUGCUCCAGUAGUCCUUGUGACACCUUGUGGCUGAAAAAAAUAUAGAUUGAGGAUGGAAAAUUGUUUUUCUUUUACACAACAGCCUCUCCUUUUAGUUGACUUAAAAAAAAUAAAUAAAAGAAUGACUUAUUCCCUUUGAUUGCCUGGGGACAAUCACUUGAAGUGCACGUUCCAUUUUAAAGGUAGAUUUGUCGAGUCUGUCGGUUGCCCUGGCAGGUGUCAAAAGGUCAGGUGUCCACGCUGAUUCCUUUAGAAGCAUCAAAGUAAUCUUUGAUACCAUGGGGACAGCCAAGUGCAUGAUUCAUAAUUAAUACAUUUUCUCAAGGAACUGAGCUGUUCCUGCUUAUGAGCUGAUUUCUGAGUGAUCUGGGCUUGUAUCACAUUCAUAAUCUCCUCCCAGGCCUUUGGCCAAUUAAACAACCAAUGUCCUUUUAAACUGGGUGUGUUUUGUUUGUUACUAUGGGCUAACACUCACCUUUUUGCCCUGCUCUUUCAAGGCAGAUGUCUGCGCUUUAACACUCCAUCUCUCUCUCUCUCUCUCUCUCUCUCUCUCUCUCUCUCUCUCUCUCUGUGUGUGUGCCACAAGCUUCCCCCACAAAAAUCCACUCUUUAAAGAUGAAUCGGAGCAAAGACAAUUUCCCACGGAUUGCUGUUUGCUCCAAUUGAGUUUUAAAGAGCAGCUUUUCGUGAGGAAAGCUCCAGACUGCAGUGUUUCCCAAACUUGGGUCUCCAGCUGUUUUUGGACUACAACUGCCAUAAUCCAGCAAGACCACUGGUCAGGGAUGAUGGAAAUUGUAGUCUGAAAGCAGGUGGAGACUCAAGUUUGGGAAACACUGCUCCAGAGCAAAACAGGAUGCUCAUACGCAGAGCUUUAAUUUGUGGACCAUGCCUAGACAGAGUGGAGGAAAGUUUAGUAAAAACACUUCAUGUACCAGUUGGUCUUCAUCUGCUGUUUCCUUUCGAGAGCUAUGAGCCGUUUCUGCUGUUCUCUUGACGCAUGAUCUUUUACAUGCUCCUCCGCCACUCAAACUUGGCACCAAAGCUGUGGGAAACCUACACAAGUGUGUCUGACCUCGUACUCUUGUGGAAAGCUCAUAAAUGGAUUCUGGUGCUAUGAUUAACAUCUGGAGGGCUGCCAUAAAUCAAACUGUAUGUACUUAAGAAGGCUGGGCUAGUCUAAUGGGAAACAAUGUGCAGGAGCGAUGAAAAAAAUUAACCCGGGGCAGUGCAGAUCAAUGCAAUCAUAUGAUGCAUCCCUUAAUGUUCUGAUCAGUGCCACUACGAUAAGGAUCACAGGAACUAUCCAAAUCUCUCUCUCUUAAAAAAACCACCAUGGUCCCAAAGAUAUCUGACCGAAGCCUCUUGGGUUUUUAAAGGCUAAUUGGCUGCAAAGAUUGAAUUGUUUUUGGCUGGUGAACAUGCUCUCCAUUGGGUAGAAUAAACUCUGCUCUUUAUAGGAUAUUUUCAGCUGAAAACGUUUUUUUAAUUUUUUUGCUGCUUCUCAGAUAUUUGCUGAUGGUUUGAAUAUUUGCUAAAGGGUCUCUGAAAUUGAUUAAUGACUACGUUUAAUUUUAAGAUUCAUUUUUUAUGUUUGUUUUAAGUUCUUUUCAUUAGUUUGCCAAAUGAAAUAUAGGUAUGCGUUUCAAGCACAUUCUCUGUCUAUUCCACUGCGGUAGGCUAAAUGCAAUCAUUGGGUUGUAGCCAACCAUGUCAUCCCAUUAGCACAAUAACUUCAAUCAAUACAAUUUUUCCUGUAUCACUAUCUCCCAAGCUCAGAGCAACCAGCUGUUUAUCAUGGGAAUGCCCAGACUUUAAUAUCUGCAUGCUGCCUUAAUUCUUGGCAAUGCUGAAUUAAACUGGUUACUAAUUCUACAUCUAUAUAAUAGGUAUCGCUGAACCCAGCCUCCUCAUACUGUGAAUAGUGGGACAACUUUGGAUCCAGCAAUGGAUGAGGUACAGGCAACAGACAUGUGUACAAAUUUUGUUCAGCCAGGUCAGUGUGGAGGCACAGCUCUGGUUGUUAGAAAGCAGAGGUGGGGAAAAUUGUCACCUUCCAAACAAUACAACUCCCAUCAUCCAUGUCUAUUGGCCCUGAUGGGAGGGACUGGUGGGAUAUGGAGUCCAACAACAUCUGGAGGGCCACGGGUUCCCCAUUCCUCCUCUAGACCAAACCUUCAGGGCCACUAGGUCCAGAGUGGCAAGGGAUGGAGUCUAUUUUGAACUUGCCUGCCUCGCUAACCCAAAACUAAUAGUCAGGGGAGGGUGGAGGGACCUGGUGAGGCCUCCCUUGAGGGUGAGAAGCAGUGAGGAACCAGGAUUUGCUGGGUCACCUCAUCUUGGGACAUACUGGUAGAUGCUGAGCACAAUUCAAAGGGUUGGUGCUGACCUUUAAAGUCCUAAAUGGCCUCAGCCCAGUAUACCUGAAGUAGCAUCUCUAACCCCAUCAUUCAGCCCAGACACUGAGGUCCAGCUCCGAGGGCCUUCUGGCGGUUCCAUCACUGUGAGAAGUGAGGUUACAGGGAACAAGGCAGAGGGCCUUCUCGGCAGUGGCGCCCACCCUGUGGAAUCCCCUCCCAUCAGAUGUAAAGGAAAUAAACAACUAUCUGACUUUUAGAAGACAUCUGAAGGAAGCCCUGUUUAGCGAAGUUUUUAAUGUUUGAUGUUUUAUUGUGUUUUCAGUGUUCUGUUGGGAGCCAACCAGAGUGCCUGGGGAAACCCAGCCAGAAGGGUGGGGUAUUAUAAUUUAUUAUUAUUAUUAUUAUUAUUAUUAUUAUUAUCAUCAUCAUUAUUAUUAUCAUUAUUAUAGAUGUGGAGCAUUGACACCUGCAGCCUCAGCCUAGGGAGCUACCUGCACUGGUGGAGGUUUAGUUCAAGUUAAGGCACUUGAAUAUUCUGUUGGACUUGUAUACCCAUUCACCUUGGAGUGAGGUCCAUUGAAGACAGCAGGGCUUCUUUCUGAGUAGACACUUUUUUUUUUUAGAAGAAGAGUUUGGAUAUGAUAUCCCGCUUUAUCACUAUCCUAAGGAGUCUCAAAGCGGCUAACAUUCUCCUUUCCCUUCUUCCCCCACAACAAACACUUUGUGAGGUGAGUGAGGCUGAGAGACUUCAAAGAAGUGUGACUAGCCCAAGGUCACCCAGCAUCUGCAUGUGGAGGAGCGGGGACGUGAACCCGGUUCACCAGAUUACGAGUCUACUGCUCUUAACCACUACACCACACUGGCUCUCCUGAGUAGACACUUUUAAUGUAGUUGUAAUGUAGAUGUGUGGCCCCUUGUCUAGAUUUUUAAGUUUAGAUCAGUGCUUGGGAAAUAGGUCUACAGGCAACUCAAUGGACCUUCCCUGUUCAGAGGCCAACUACAUGCAGAGGGGGACAGUUAACGUUGGAGGGUUGUGGUCUGCUGGAUCAGGGUAUUGGUCCAUCUAGUCUAGCAUCCUGUUCUCACAAUGGCCAACCAGUUGCCUAAUGGGAAGCCUGAAAGCAGGACCUGAGCACAACAGCACUCUCCCCUCUUGUGACUCCCAGCCAGUGGCCUUCAGAGGCAUACAAACCCACCCAGUUUAUACACAAACACACGUCCCCCAUUUAGGAAGCUCACAUACCGAAGCCACUGCGCGCAGCUGUUUCUUUCUCCCAAGGUACCUUUGGGAAAGUUCUGCUCUGUGACCUCUGCACCUGCACCAUCCCCCUAAGUGCUAAGAGUUAUGUUUAGCCUACUAAUAGCAUGUCAAGAAAUGUCUCGUCCAGCAUCUGCUAAGGCUUGCUUACCCCGCAGGGAUCUCCUCAGUGUGGUUGUCAGAGGGACACAGAUCAUUUUGUUCCCACCUGACAUGAUCAGCCUUCAAGGUUACCAACAGAUUAUUUAAAGAUGACUUGGCAUGGCCCCUUUGGUUUAUCAUGUUGGUGACAGAAUGUCAUUUCCUUUACUGCAGGGCUGGAGCGCACCUUUGUCCCAGCAUGUCGCCAUCUCUUCAGAAGCAGAGAUGGGACCCUCAAGUUCUGAAAUAGCUUCAGUCUGGAGAUUGGCUAAAACUGGCUAAUGCGAGUCUCUCUGCAGGUCUAUUUUAUUGUCAGAGAGCAUCGUCUCUAUUAAUGAAUGCCUUUUAUGGUUGGCAAACAACGCCCAUUUACAGUGAAAGAUUUCCUGGUUCUCACCCUAUUAAUAAACACACAUCUCUUUUUAA